This 444-nucleotide ribosomal RNA is filed under the name uncultured bacterium. RNAcentral's name for it is "partial 16S ribosomal RNA". It matches the Rfam family "Bacterial small subunit ribosomal RNA", at positions 339 to 795 of the family's 1533-position model. The record is from RNAcentral.
CUACGGGGGGCUGCAGUCGGGAAUAUUGCACAAUGGGCGCAAGCCUGAUGCAGCAACGCCGCGUGGGGGACGACGGCCUUCGGGUUGUAAACCUCUUUUAGUAGGGAAGAAGCGCAAGUGACGGUACCUACAGAAAAAGCACCGGCUAACUACGUGCCAGCAGCCGCGGUAAUACGUAGGGUGCAAGCGUUGUCCGGAAUUAUUGGGCGUAAAGAGCUCGUAGGCGGUUUGUCGCGUCUGCUGUGAAAAUCCGAGGCUCAACCUCGGACCUGCAGUGGGUACGGGCAAACUAGAGUGCGGUAGGGGAGAUUGGAAUUCCUGGUGUAGCGGUGGAAUGCGCAGAUAUCAGGAGGAACACCAAUGGCGAAGGCAGAUCUCUGGGCCGUAACUGACGCUGAGGAGCGAAAGCGUGGGGAGCGAACAGGAUUAGAUACCCCGGUAGUC